AUUGAACGCUGGCGGCGUGCCUUACACAUGCAAGUCGGACGAGUGGCGAACGGGUGAGUAAUGAAUCGGAACGUACCGAGUAAAGGGGGAUAACUGCUCGAAAGGGUAGCUAAUACCGCAUAUUAUCAGAGCGGCCGAUGUCUGAUUAGCUGGUUGGCGGGGUAAAGGCCCACCAAGGCGACGAUCAGGAGCGGGUCUGAGAGGAUGAUCCGCAACACUGGGACUGAGACACGGCCCAGACUCCUACGGGAGGCAGCAGUGGGGAAUUUUGGACAAUGGGCGCAAGCCUGAUCCAGCCAUGCCGCGUGUCUGAAGAAGGCCUUCGGGUUGUAAAGGACUUUUGUCAGGGAAGCGGUACCUGAAGAAUAAGCACCGGCUAACUACGUGCCAGCAGCCGCGGUAAUUC
RNAcentral lists this ribosomal RNA (406 nucleotides) under uncultured bacterium. RNAcentral describes it as "partial 16S ribosomal RNA". It matches the Rfam family "Bacterial small subunit ribosomal RNA", at positions 30 to 526 of the family's 1533-position model. The record is from RNAcentral.